RNAcentral lists this ribosomal RNA (331 nucleotides) under uncultured bacterium. Its description in RNAcentral is "partial 16S ribosomal RNA". It matches the Rfam family "Bacterial small subunit ribosomal RNA", at positions 338 to 684 of the family's 1533-position model. The record is from RNAcentral.
CCUACGGGGGGCAGCAGUGGGGAAUAUUGGGCAAUGGGCGAAAGCCUGACCCAGCAACGCCGCGUGAAGGAAGAAGGCUUUCGGGUUGUAAACUUCUUUUGACAGGGAAGAGCAGAAGACGGUACCUGUCGAAUAAGCCACGGCUAACUACGUGCCAGCAGCCGCGGUAAUACGUAGGUGGCAAGCGUUGUCCGGAUUUACUGGGUGUAAAGGGCGUGUAGCCGGGCUGACAAGUCAGAUGUGAAAUCCGGGGGCUCAACCCCCGAACUGCAUUUGAAACUGUUGGUCUUGAGUUUCGGAGAGGAGGGGGGAUUACCUGGUGUGGCGGGGA